Molecule: ribosomal RNA, 1009 nt
Filed under: Barycholos pulcher (Chimbo frog)
Lineage: Eukaryota; Metazoa; Chordata; Amphibia; Anura; Craugastoridae
Description: partial 16S ribosomal RNA
Rfam family: Bacterial large subunit ribosomal RNA
Source: RNAcentral
UUCAAGAAAGGAAUUUUAGUCCCGCUUAAAGUUAAACAAGUCCAAAUUAAACACUCACCACACUUUAAAGUAACUCAAAUAAGGUACAGCUUAUUUGAGCCAGGGCACAACCUACACCAAAGGGUAAACAAAGUACUACGGCAAACCUGUGGGCCUAAUAGCAGCCAUCAAAUAAAAAGCGUUAAAGCUUACCUGCCAACACUAACUAAUUUCAUCACAAAAACUGAACCCUUCACCAAUAUUGAAUUUCUCUAUAUUUGUAUAGAACUAAUAAUGUUAAAACUAGUAAUAAGAAAUUUUUCUCUUAAGUGUAAGUAUUUACUCAAAUUUAUUAACGUUUUUAACCCUAAAGUAAUAACCCAUUACAUUAAAAAACACUACUACCUUUUACGUAAACCUAACUCAAGAACACUUCAAGCAAAGAUUAAAUGAGAAAAAAGGAACUCGGCAAAUAUUGAUAUCGCCUGUUUACCAAAAACAUCGCCUCUUGACCUUAUAUGAGGUCCAGCCUGCCCAGUGAAUAUUCAACGGCCGCGGUAUCCUAACCGUGCGAAGGUAGCACAAUCACUUGUCUUUUAAUUAGAGACUGGUAUGAAUGGCAUCACGAAUAUCCAACUGUCUCUUUUCUCCAACCAUUGAAACUAAUCUCCCCGUGAAAAAGCAGGGAUAAUGAUAUAAGACGAGAAGACCCUAUGAAGCUUUAAACCAAAUUAUAUAUAUAGUACUAUAUUUCUAUAAUAAGGUUUUCGGUUGGGGCGACCUUGGAGAACAAUAUAUCCUCCAAUUUGAAUAAGAAAUAACUUUCCUAAACUAUAUGCCACAGCUUUAAGUAUCAAUAAAUGACAUUCAUUGACCCAGCUUUCUGAUCAACGAACCAAGUUACUCUAGGGAUAACAGCGCAAUCUUCUUCGAGAGUACAUAUCGACAAGAAGGUUUACGACCUCGAUGUUGGAUCAGGGUGACCUUGUGGCGCAGCCGCUACAAAAGGUUCGUUUGUUCAACGAUUAAC